CGAACGGGUGAGUAACACGUGGGUAACCUGCCCCGAUGAUUGGGACAACCCGAGGAAACUCGGGCUAAUACCAAAUGUGACUCUGGCCGUAAGGGCCAGAAGGAAAGGAAGCUUCGGCCUCCGCAUUGGGAUGGGCCCGCGGCCCAUUAGCUUGUUGGUGGGGUAAUGGCCUACCAAGGCAACGAUGGGUAGCUGGUCUGAGAGGACGAUCAGCCACACUGGGACUGAGACACGGCCCAG
This 240-nucleotide ribosomal RNA is filed under the name uncultured bacterium. RNAcentral describes it as "partial 16S ribosomal RNA". It matches the Rfam family "Bacterial small subunit ribosomal RNA", at positions 99 to 334 of the family's 1533-position model. The record is from RNAcentral.